UGGGGAAUAUUGCACAAUGGGCGCAAGCCUGAUGCAGCGACGCCGCGUGGGGGAUGACGGCCUUCGGGUUGUAAACUCCUUUCGCUAGGGACGAAGCUUUUUGUGACGGUACCUAGAUAAGAAGCACCGGCUAACUACGUGCCAGCAGCCGCGGUAAUACGUAGGGUGCGAGCGUUGUCCGGAAUUACUGGGCGUAAAGGGCUCGUAGGUGGGUUGUCGCGUCGUCUGUGAAAUUCCGGGGCUUAACUCCGGGCGUGCAGGCGAUACGUGCAUAACUUGAGUACUGUAGGGGUAACUGGAAUUCCUGGUGUAGCGGUGAAAUGCGCAGAUAUCAGGAGGAACACCGAUGGCGAAGGCAGGUUACUGGGCAGUUACUGACGCUGAGGAGCGAAAGCAUGGGUAGCGAACAGG
This 411-nucleotide ribosomal RNA is filed under the name Actinomycetes bacterium. Its description in RNAcentral is "Actinobacteria bacterium partial 16S ribosomal RNA". It matches the Rfam family "Bacterial small subunit ribosomal RNA", at positions 355 to 776 of the family's 1533-position model. The record is from RNAcentral. Lineage: Bacteria; Bacillati; Actinomycetota; Actinomycetes.